AACGAACGCUGGCGGCAUGCCUAACACAUGCAAGUCGAACGAGACCUUCGGGUCUAGUGGCGCACGGGUGCGUAACGCGUGGGAAUCUGCCCUUGGGUUCGGAAUAACAGCGAGAAAUUGCUGCUAAAUACCGGAUGAUGACGUAAGUCCAAAGAUUUAUCGCCCAAGGAUGAGCCCGCGUAGGAUUAGCUAGUUGGUGAGGUAAAGGCUCACCAAGGCGACGAUCCUUAGCUGGUCUGAGAGGAUGAUCAGCCACACUGGGACUGAGACACGGUCCAGACUCCUACGGGAGGCAGCAGUGGGGAAUAUUGGACAAUGGCGAAAGCCUGAUCCAGACAAUGCCGCGUGAGUGAUGAA
This 357-nucleotide ribosomal RNA is filed under the name uncultured bacterium. RNAcentral's name for it is "bacterial SSU rRNA". It matches the Rfam family "Bacterial small subunit ribosomal RNA", at positions 29 to 412 of the family's 1533-position model. The record is from RNAcentral.